RNAcentral lists this ribosomal RNA (229 nucleotides) under uncultured bacterium. RNAcentral's name for it is "partial 16S ribosomal RNA". It matches the Rfam family "Bacterial small subunit ribosomal RNA", at positions 568 to 796 of the family's 1533-position model. The record is from RNAcentral.
UCCGCAGGCGGGCUAUUAAGUCAGGGGUGAAAUGGUACGGCUCAACCGUAGCACUGCCCUUGAUACUGGUUGCCUUGAGUCAUAGUGAAGUGGCCGGAAUAUGUAGUGUAGCGGUGAAAUGCAUAGAUAUUACAUAGAACACCGAUUGCGAAGGCAGGUCACUAACUAUCGACUGACGCUGAUGGACGAAAGCGUGGGGAGCGAACAGGAUUAGAUACCCUGGUAGUCC